Molecule: small nuclear RNA, 107 nt
Organism: Meriones unguiculatus (Mongolian gerbil)
Lineage: Eukaryota; Metazoa; Chordata; Mammalia; Rodentia; Muridae
Source: Ensembl
GUUCUUGCUUAGGCAGCACAUAUACUAAAAUUGGAACAAUACAGAGAAGAUUAGCAUGGCUCCUGUGCAAGAGUAACAUUCAAAUUUGUGAAGCAUUCCGUAGUUUU